UGUCCAGAUUUUCUAUUUCACUGCCUUGCUAGAUAAACGUGCAUUUCUGUAUUCAUAAAAAUACAACCAUAAUUAGAAUUCAGUUUGCCCUAGUGGAAUGGCUGUCCAACUUUCCAAGUUGACAUAAAACUUCCAAAGAGAAUAUCAGAUGUACUAAAUUUUCUAUAUUUUCAGGUUUUCCAGUGACAAUUCGACUGUUAGACCCACCACUUCAUGAAUUUUUGCCAGAAGGGAACCUAGAAGAGAUUGUCAAUGAACUAACAACAGAUAUAGGCAUGUGCGAGGAAGAUGUCUAUUCUAGAAUUGAGAAAUUAUCAGAAGUCAAUCCCAUGCUUGGAUUUCGAGGCUGCAGGUCUGAUCUUCUCCCAUCACAAACAAAUGAUCUAUUUUUGCUGCAUUACUUAUCGCAAGGAUUUAGGAAGUUUUCUAAAAGUAAGGAGAUUAUGGUUAGUUUCUAAUUUCUUGAGUGUUAGAUUCCUGUAUAUAUAUUAAAGAGGAGCAUAAGUUAUGUCACAAAUUCCACGAUCUAUGCAUAACUUGGUCCAGGUAGUGCCAGUACGAUUUCUGAGUUAGGCAAUGCAGUACCUCUUUUAUUCUCAAAAUCCAGAACCAAAUUACUUAAAACGUUCUGCUAGCAUCUCUCAAUGUUUGUUUUUCUUUUUGACAGGCUAGGUAUAUCUUACCCUGAGCUGACAGAAAUGCAGGCUCGUGCAAUCUUUCAAGCUGCUAUAGCUAUGAGCAACCAGGGCAUUUCCGUCUUUCCAGAGAUAAUGGUUCCCCUUGUUGGAACACCUCAGGUAUGUCUUAUGUGGACUGUACUCUUACAUCUUGAAUAUAGUUGACGAUCAAGAAUAAAGAGAUAUCAUUGUCCUUUCGUUUUAUGAAGCAUAUAAAAAGGGGUUGAGUCGAUUAUUUUUAUAAAUGGAUUUAUACUUUUGUUUCCAUUAUACCAACCCUUCUGAGAAAUAAAUUUCAAAGUGACAGUGCAUCUUUAAUUGACAGGAAUUAAGUCAUCAAGUCGGUUUAAUCCGUCAUGUUGCCAAAAAGGUUUUCUCGGAGAUGGGUACCUCGUUGAAUUAUAAGGUUGGCACCAUGAUUGAGAUUCCUAGAGCUGCUUUGAUUGCAGACGAGGUAUGUCUUUUUUCUAUUAUUUUACUAGUGAUUAAAGAUUAUGAACUUGCUAAUCUCUUCAAUGAUAUAUUUCGAUCCCAAUGCUACACAAGCCACAACGAUGAAAUGUCCAACUUCUACUCUAGAAAAGCUUCCGCGUUGCUAUAUUGCUUUGCUUAUGCUCCAUGUUUUCUGUAAACUGGUGAUAGAUUGCUAAUGAAGCAGAGUUCUUCUCCUUUGGGACCAAUGACCUCACACAAAUGACAUUCGGGUACAGUAGAGAUGAUGUAGGCAAGUUUCUUCCUAUAUACCUAUCCAAAGGCAUCCUCCAACAUGAUCCAUUCGAGGUUAGCUUGUCAUAUCUCAAACUACUCUCCGUGUGAUAUGCAAAAAAUUGGAAACCAGCAUGUUGAAACUUGAAGAUUUAAUGUCAUUCAGGUCCUUGAUCAAAAGGGUGUUGGCCAACUCAUCAAGAUGGCUACUGAAAGAGGUCGUGCAGCGAGGCCAAACUUGAAGGUCAGUUACAAGCUGAAUAAGAGAUUUACCUUGUAUACGCUAACACUGUAAAUAAAUCUUACACUACGUGUCAUUUAACAUCCAAGACGCUAGUUUCACUUUUUAUGGGUAGUAGCCUGGAGUUAUUUUUUAAAUGACCUUACUUUGUUAGCUCUUAGUGUAUAGAAGUUAAACUCUUGAAUGUGAUUCCCUAGAAGAGACUUUAAUUUUCUCAAGUUCCAUUUAACUUCUUGGUCCUGUUGGAUCAUUCUCCUCGUCAUUAUCAGUUGUUUGUCCCUUUGGGUACUACAUUCUUAGUGUUUAGUUCAAAGUUUAGUUCAAAGUGUAAGGCUUCUUUUUGUUCAUUGAUUAAAAUCUUGAGAUAUAACAGGUUGGAAUUUGUGGAGAACAUGGUGGGGAGCCCUCUUCAGUUGCAUUUUUCGCCGAGGCUGGAUUGGACUAUGUUUCUUGCUCUCCAUUCAGGUAACCUCGCUGAAACUGUAAUUUACUGAUUUCUAGAAUCUCGCGUAACUUUUCCAAAACCUUACUGAAAAUAUAUCGUGUUCAGGACUAUAUAAGUUGGCGUACAUGACUAUAUUAAUUGGCGAUUCGCUAAUGGUUUUUGUAUAAUGCAUGUGCUUAAACAGGGUGCCCAUUGCUAGGCUAGCUGCAGCUCAAGUUGUAGUUUGAAGGCAAGGCUCAAGAAGGAAGGAAGAUCAACUAGAUUUUCAGAAGCUGUAAAUAAAUAAUAAGAUUAGUACCAAAAAAAAAGUUUAGAGAAGAGGGGAACACAAUCUAUUAUUUCCUUUUUAUAGACAAACAAUUGGUUCCUAUGGUAACAGAUUUAUUCUUCUUUUCACAUCUUUACUCUUGUUAUGAGUUUCUGUUUUUUACAGUUUAUAUUUCAAGCAUGGAUAUAUGUUUGCUUCACUAGGAGAUUAUGUAGUUAUGAGUUCCAAAAGGGGAUAAUUUGCAUGGACUUAAUAAAGUUUGUUAGGAUCGGGAACAUAGGUAGUGCGGAAAUUAGUCAAAUAAUGUUAUAAUGACAAUAACAAAGACAAUGCAAGUUGAUAAUAAUGACAAUUAAAGAAGAUAAAGUAGACAUAAAUUUAACGUGGUUCGGUCAAAGUGACAUACGUCUACAAGCGGAGAGGAGCAAUUUUACUAUACCAAUAAGAGUAUAAAAGAGAAUACAAAAUUAGAGUAAAUACUCUAAUUAAUACCAAAUACCCUAAGAGAAUAACCUCGCAAGAUCACUUCAAUAAAAGAGUUCACACAAGUGCUUCCCAACACUCAACUCUCGUACAAAACACUCUUAAUAAAGGAGAAAAUGAAGAAACAAGAAAUGAAGAUUCAAGUCUUAUUGGUGUGUUUAAAAUGAACUAAUGUCCUUUUCUUUUAUAGGCAAAAAAGUCUUGGCCUCUUAGUUGUAAAAGAAAAGAUACAACUUGUGCAAAUGAUAUCCACUACACAAUGCAAUAUUUUUGGGUCUCAAAAAAUAUUGCCAACAAAGUCUAUACUUUAGACAUAUGCUUAUGCUUGUGUGAGAUGGAUUCCAUUAGCCAAAAUAUUGGCCAUAUUACAAAGUUCUAUGGAGUUUAUAAUUGCAAAAAGGAAUCAAAGUAUUGGAGUUAGAGUUUUGUUGAGUUUAUGCAUACAAGGUGUCAAAACUAAUGGGUUGUGGCAUGUUUAGCACAUUUUCAACGGUCCCAGUGAGGGCAAGGUAUUGCUAAACAUUGAUACUUUACUCUGUAACUGAGUAAAAACACUUUAAAACUUGUGUACUUAGUUACUUGCCCAACUUCGCUUAAAAUUAUCACCAAAAUCGAAAGCAUAUAUAAGUCGUGAAAAAUUGUUUUUCAAAGGAUGGUCACAGAGGGGAGACUUCUUUACCUUUUUAAAUCAUACUGAAAUUCUUCUUUUAGGCAGUUGAGCAUCCGAUCUCUUUGUUUGCUGGCCAGUUCUUAGGCAUUCUCUGAGUGUUAGAAAUACGUCAGACUCCUUGGAUCGCUCUGGGCUGAUGGCGCUUUGUAACGGCUUAUCUGAAGUCCAACAACGGAUCUCUAUUCGCGACAGAGAACAAAACAACAUGACUUGCUUCCAUAGAUUUGUUGAAUUUACUACGAAUUUGAUUUAAACAAAUAUCUCUGUGUGCCGCCUGCCUUUAGAUUGACACACAAUUGAGGAGGCAUAUCAUAAUUUUAGACGACAAUAGGCCUACCGAAAUUUUAUACAACAAUAGACUUACAUUUAAUUGAUUUCAAGCUAGACACUUGAAUUUUGUUCAAAAAGUUCUUGUACAAGAAAAUAAAUAGUAGUUGGGAUAGAUUUGGUAGGCCACUAUGGAGAGCCCUCUUG
This 3963-nucleotide long non-coding RNA is filed under the name Nicotiana tabacum (common tobacco). Its description in RNAcentral is "long non-coding RNA (NTAB_LNC001587)". Lineage: Eukaryota; Viridiplantae; Streptophyta; Magnoliopsida; Solanales; Solanaceae. The record is from RNAcentral.